GUCUCUGUGGUGCAAUUGUAGCACAUUCAGCCAAAAACUGAAAGGUUGGUGGUUCAAGUCCACCCAGAGACA
Rana temporaria (common frog) is the source of this 72-nucleotide non-coding RNA. NCBI's taxonomy places the organism in Eukaryota, Metazoa, Chordata, Amphibia, Anura, Ranidae. The record is from the annotation of a RefSeq genome assembly.